RNAcentral lists this unclassified non-coding RNA (233 nucleotides) under soil metagenome. RNAcentral's name for it is "partial internal transcribed spacer 1". The record is from RNAcentral.
UUGAAUUUUAAUGAAGGAGUUUGGUUGUAGCUGGCCCAUUCAUUUGGGCAUGUGCACACCUUCCUCUUUCAUCCCACACACACCUGUGAACCUGUGAGACAGAGAUGGGGAAUUUACUUGCUGCUUUUUGGAAUACAAAGGCAAUAGGUUAUUGGACCCCCCCUCUGUCUACUCAAUUAAUAUAAACUCAAUUUAUUUUAAAACGAAUGUAAUGGAUGUAACACAUCUCAUAC